UGGAUCCAGACUUUGAUUAUGGCUCAGGAUGAACGCUAGCUACAGGCUUAACACAUGCAAGUCGAGGGGAAACGACAUCGAAAGCUUGCUUUUGAUGGGCGUCGACCGGCGCACGGGUGAGUAACGCGUAUCCAACCUGCCCACCACUUGGGGAUAACCUUGCGAAAGUAAGACUAAUACCCAAUGAUAUCUCUAGAAGACAUCUGAAGGAGAUUAAAGAUUUAUCGGUGAUGGAUGGGGAUGCGUCUGAUUAGCUUGUUGGCGGGGUAACGGCCCACCAAGGCAACGAUCAGUAGGGGUUCUGAGAGGAAGGUCCCCCACAUUGGAACUGAGACACGGUCCAAACUCCUACGGGAGGCAGCAGUGAGGAAUAUUGGUCAAUGGACGAGAGUCUGAACCAGCCAAGUAGCGUGCAGGAUGACGGCCCUAUGGGUUGUAAACUGCUUUUAUAAGGGAAUAAAGUGAGUCUCGUGAGACUUUUUGCAUGUACCUUAUGAAUAAGGACCGGCUAAUUCCGUGCCAGCAGCCGCGGUAAUACGGAAGGUCCGGGCGUUAUCCGGAUUUAUUGGGUUUAAAGGGAGCGUAGGCCGGAGAUUAAGCGUGCUGUGAAAUGUAGACGCUCAACGUCUGCACUGCAGCGCGAACUGGUUUCCUUGAGUACGCACAAAGUGGGCGGAAUUCGUGGUGUAGCGGUGAAAUGCUUAGAUAUCACGAAGAACUCCGAUUGCGAAGGCAGCUCACUGGAGCGCAACUGACGCUGAAGCUCGAAAGUGCGGGUAUCGAACAGGAUUAGAUACCCUGGUAGUCCGCACGGUAAACGAUGGAUGCCCGCUGUUGGUCUGAAUAGGUCAGCGGCCAAGCGAAAGCAUUAAGCAUCCCACCUGGGGAGUACGCCGGCAACGGUGCAACUCAAAGGAAUUGACGGA
This 926-nucleotide ribosomal RNA is filed under the name uncultured organism. Its description in RNAcentral is "bacterial SSU rRNA". It matches the Rfam family "Bacterial small subunit ribosomal RNA", at positions 1 to 917 of the family's 1533-position model. The record is from RNAcentral.